GCCAGUGUGGUUUAAUGGUUUGAGUGUUGGCUUCUGGUUCUGGAGACCAGGGUUCGAUUCCCAGCUUUUUCC
This is a non-coding RNA of Phrynosoma platyrhinos (Desert horned lizard), 72 nucleotides long. The record is from the annotation of a GenBank genome assembly. NCBI's taxonomy places the organism in Eukaryota, Metazoa, Chordata, Lepidosauria, Squamata, Phrynosomatidae.